This 76-nucleotide microRNA precursor is filed under the name Camelus bactrianus (Bactrian camel). RNAcentral describes it as "mir-202 microRNA precursor family". It matches the Rfam family "mir-202 microRNA precursor family". RNAcentral also lists the same sequence under 3 other names. Lineage: Eukaryota; Metazoa; Chordata; Mammalia; Artiodactyla; Camelidae. The record is from Rfam by way of RNAcentral.
CUGUUCCUUUUUCCUAUGCAUAUACUUCUUUGAGGGUCGGGCCUAAAGAGGUGUAGGGCAUGGGAAAACGGGGCGG